CAGCUAGAGUAUGAUAGAGGAAAGCAGAAUUUCUAGUGUAGAGGUGAAAUUCGUAGAUAUUAGAAAGAAUACCAAUUGCGAAGGCAGCUUUCUGGAUCAUUACUGACACUGAGGAACGAAAGCAUGGGUAGCGAAGAGGAUUAGAUACCCUCGUAGUCCAUGCCGUAAACGAUGUGUGUUAGACGUUGGAAAUUUAUUUUCAGUGUCGCAGCGAAAGCGAUAAACACACCGCCUGGGGAGUACGACCGCAAGGUUAAAACUCAAAUGAAUUGACGGGGACCCGCACAAGUAGUGGAGCAUGUGGUUUAAUUCGAAGAUACGCGCAGAACCUUACCAACACUUGACAUGUUCGUCGCGACUCUAAGAGAUUAGAGUUUUCGGUUCGGCCGGACGAAACACAGGUGCUGCAUGGCUGUCGUCAGCUCGUGUCGUGAGAUGUUGGGUUAAGUCCCGCAACGAGCGCAACCCUCACUUUUAGUUGCCAUCAUUAAGUUGGGCACUCUGAAAGAACUGCCAGUGAUAAGCUGGAGGAAGGUGGGGAUGACGUCAAGUCCUCAUGGCCCUUACGUGUUGGGCUACACACGUGCUACAAUGGUAUCUACAACAGGAAGCAAAACUGCGAAGUUAAGCAAAUCCCUAAAAGAUACCUCAGUUCGGAUUGCACUCUGCAACUCGAGUGCAUGAAGCUGGAAUUACUAGUAAUCGUGGAUCAGCGUGCCACGGUGAAUGCGUUCCCGGGUCUUGUACACACCGCCCGUCACACCAUGGGAGUUGGUUCUACCUUAAGGCAAGGUUUUAAACCCUUGACCACGGUAUAGUCAGCGACUGGGGUGAAGUCGUAACAAGGUAACC
Molecule: ribosomal RNA, 852 nt
Filed under: uncultured bacterium
Lineage: Bacteria
Description: bacterial SSU rRNA
Rfam family: Bacterial small subunit ribosomal RNA
Source: RNAcentral